Molecule: ribosomal RNA, 446 nt
Filed under: uncultured bacterium
Lineage: Bacteria
Description: partial 16S ribosomal RNA
Rfam family: Bacterial small subunit ribosomal RNA
Source: RNAcentral
CCUACGGGGAGCAGCAGUCGAGAAUCAUUCACAAUGGGGGAAACCCUGAUGGUGCGACGCCGCGUGGGGGAAUGAAGGUCUUCGGAUUGUAAACCCCUGUCAUGUGGGAGCAAAUUAAAAAGAUAGUACCACAAGAGGAAGAGACGGCUAACUCUGUGCCAGCAGCCGCGGUAAUACAGAGGUCUCAAGCGUUGUUCGGAAUCACUGGGCGUAAGGCGUGCGUAGGCUGUUUCGUAAGUCGUGUGUGAAAGGCGCGGGCUCAACCCGCGGACGGCACAUGAUACUGCGAGACUAGAGUAAUGGAGGGGGAACCGGAAUUCUCGGUGUAGCAGUGAAAUGCGUAGAUAUCGAGAGGAACACUCGUGGCGAAGGCGGGUUCCUGGACAUUAACUGACGCUGAGGCACGAAGGCCAGGGGAGCGAAAGGGAUUAGAUACCCGUGUAGUC